CUAGAAAAUAGUCAUUAGGAUGAAUUUAGCUAUAUUUUGAAAAUUCUAAAAAACUAGUCAUUAUUUUGUUAGAAUCUAUUGAGUUGGCUCAUCCAAGCUCUAAGUCAGCUAACCUUCAAUCUGUGCCAGCUAAGCAAAAUUCUGAGACAGCUCAAUAGUAGAUACCAAAAAUCCAAUAUUUUGUUUUGUUCUGCCUAUCUA
This 201-nucleotide long non-coding RNA is filed under the name Elaeis guineensis (African oil palm). Its description in RNAcentral is "long non-coding RNA (EGUI_LNC054742)". Lineage: Eukaryota; Viridiplantae; Streptophyta; Magnoliopsida; Arecales; Arecaceae. The record is from RNAcentral.